Scatophagus argus is the source of this 994-nucleotide long non-coding RNA. RefSeq lists it as uncharacterized. NCBI's taxonomy places the organism in Eukaryota, Metazoa, Chordata, Actinopteri, Scatophagidae. The record is from RefSeq and is a predicted model, not a curated record. The transcript has 4 exons.
GCUAAAUGUUUUUUUUUUAAAGCUGGUUGUUUAACCGCAUGCAUAGACUUGGAGUGGGAGGAAUUCCCUUCACCCUACCUCUUGUUGGAAGAACCUACCAAAAAAGCGGACCAUCGAUAAAAGCUAUUUGAGCAACCAGCCCAAUGGAAACAGGGAUGUACACUGUCACAAACAAUGGUCCUUCAUCAAGCCGCGACAAUUUAACCGGAUCGUAUCCACAGAAGAACAAAGGGGAUGUGGUGUUUGCAAGUUAGCCCUGGACCCAGUGAGAAGGCUGCCGCAGUCAACAUGGAUGUGGGGUGAUGUGGGAACUGGGAGGCUAUUCUUGCCGACUGGGGGCUCUGAGCGAAUACUUUGUACUGUAGUUCAUCCUACUGGACUAUUCCUACGGCAAUUUAAGCACCUUCAAGCGCAGACUUCACUGACAGCACUGUGUGGUGGUGUCUCCUUCUAUUCCAGUGGGGGAAAAAAGCACCGCUCCUGCUCUCAAAACAUGACAAGAACUGCCAGCGACGGAUUUGCUAGCGCAACGACACAAGACAGUUUCUCAGGUUGGAGAAAACUAAACACAGGCUACGCAUGCGUACUGCAAACGGAAUAUAUUUAAAGGUGAAGCUCGUCAGGAUGGUGAGAGCUGCCAGGCUGGGGAAUCUGACGGAUCAGGGCUUUGGUGGAAUAUACAUUUAAGUGAUGCAGCGGGGCUGAGUGAAAUCUGAGAUGUGCUUCUGUUUCUGUCUAUAAUACAGUACAGAUGGUGAUUCAGUGGCAGAUGGAGCACAGUUUCUUCAGCUGGUUGGUGUAAGUUUAAAGCAUGAAUUUAGCUGGAGCCAUCCACACUUCCACAUCUACGCCUACAGGUGGCAGCGUUGCACAGGGACUUCAAGAGAUGGAUCUGCAGAAAUGAGAAAGUGGGGUGCAGACUUCACCACACAGAUAUACAGAAGCUACAGUCAACUACAGCAGUAGAACUACAGGAAUGUCAGAUUACUGAGAC